UACGGAGGGAGCUAGCGUUGUUCGGAUAUACUGGGCGUAAAGCGCACGUAGGCGGCGCCGUAAGUCAGGGGUGAAAUCCCGGAGCUCAACUCCGGAACUGCCCUUGAAACUGCAGUGCUAGAAUCCUGGAGAGGCGAGUGGAAUUCCGAGUGUAGAGGUGAAAUUCGUAGAUAUUCGCAGGAACACCAGUGGCGAAGGCGACUCGCUGGUCUUUUGCUGACGCUGAGACGCGAAAGCGUGGGGAGCAAACAGG
Molecule: ribosomal RNA, 253 nt
Filed under: uncultured bacterium
Lineage: Bacteria
Description: partial 16S ribosomal RNA
Rfam family: Bacterial small subunit ribosomal RNA
Source: RNAcentral